UUCCCGCCAUAGCCGUACAUAUUCCUAGAAAGUCAUUAUAUAUAUAUAUAUAUAUAUAUAUAUAUAUAUAUAUAUAUAUAUAUAUAUAUAUAUAUAUAUAUAUAUAUAUAUAUAAUGACUUUCUAGGAAUAUGUACGGCUAUGGCGGGAA
This 150-nucleotide microRNA precursor is filed under the name Olea europaea subsp. europaea. Lineage: Eukaryota; Viridiplantae; Streptophyta; Magnoliopsida; Lamiales; Oleaceae. The record is from RNAcentral.